CUGAUACAAUGAUGAUAGCAUAGUUCAGCAGAUUAAACAAUGACGAUUAUACGCGCUGUCUUUCGCUCCUAUAUCUGAUGUGUCGC
Pseudoliparis swirei is the source of this 86-nucleotide small nucleolar RNA. RefSeq annotates it as small nucleolar RNA snR60/Z15/Z230/Z193/J17. The record is from RefSeq and is a predicted model, not a curated record. The transcript has a single exon. NCBI's taxonomy places the organism in Eukaryota, Metazoa, Chordata, Actinopteri, Perciformes, Liparidae.